GAUGAAGAACGUAGCGAAAUGCGAUACGUAAUGUGAAUUGCAGAAUUCAGUGAAUCAUCGAGUCUUUGAACGCACAUUGCGCCCCCUGGUAUUCCGGGGGGCAUGCCUGUCCGAGCGUCAUUGCUGCCCUCAAGCACGGCUUGUGUGUUGGGCCCCGCCCCCCGGUCUCGGGGGGCGGACCCGAAAGGCAGCGGCGGCACCGCGUCCGGUCCUCGAGCGUAUGGGGCUUCGUCACCCGCUCUGUAGGCCCGGCCGGCGCCCGCCGGCGACCCCAAUCAAUCUAUCCAGGUUGACCUCGGAUCAGGUAGGGAUACCCGCUGAACUUAAGCAUAUCAAUAAGCGGAGGA
Molecule: unclassified non-coding RNA, 347 nt
Filed under: soil metagenome
Description: partial contains 5.8S ribosomal RNA, internal transcribed spacer 2, and large subunit ribosomal RNA
Rfam family: 5.8S ribosomal RNA (bases 1-120)
Source: RNAcentral